Molecule: ribosomal RNA, 483 nt
Filed under: uncultured bacterium
Lineage: Bacteria
Description: partial 16S ribosomal RNA
Rfam family: Bacterial small subunit ribosomal RNA
Source: RNAcentral
AUUGAACGCUGGCGGCAUGCUUUACACAUGCAAGUCGAACGGCAGCGCGGGCUUCGGCCUGGCGGCGAGUGGCGAACGGGUGAGUAAUGCAUCGGAACGUGCCCAGUAGUGGGGGAUAGCCCGGCGAAAGCCGGAUUAAUACCGCAUACGACCUGAGGGUGAAAGCGGGGGACCGAAAGGCCUCGCGCUAUUGGAGCGGCCGAUGUCGGAUUAGCUAGUUGGUGGGGUAAGGCUUACCAAGGCGACGAUCCGUAGCUGGUCUGAGAGGACGACCAGCCACACUGGGACUGAGACGCGGCCCAGACUCCUACGGGAGGCAGCAGUGGGGAAUUUUGGACAAAGGGGGCAACCCUGAUCCAGCCAUGCCGCGUGCGGGAAGAAGGCCUUCGGGUUGUAAACCGCUUUUGUUCGGGAAGAAAUCCUCUGGGCUAAUACCCCGGGGGGAUGACGGUACCGGAAGAAUAAGCACCGGCUAACUACGUG